AAUCAACGCUGGCGGCGUGCCUCAGACAUGCAAGUCGAACGAUUAAAGCUCUCUUCGGAGAGUGUAUAGAGUGGCGCACGGGUGAGUAACACGUAAGUAAUCUACCUUCGAGUGGGGAAUAACGUCCGGAACGGACGCUAAUACCGCAUAAUGCAGCGGCAUCGCAAGAUGACAGUUGUUAAAGAUUUAUUCGCUUGAAGAGGAGCUUGCGGCAGAUAGUCUAGUU
This 226-nucleotide ribosomal RNA is filed under the name uncultured bacterium. RNAcentral's name for it is "partial 16S ribosomal RNA". It matches the Rfam family "Bacterial small subunit ribosomal RNA", at positions 32 to 250 of the family's 1533-position model. The record is from RNAcentral.